This 1003-nucleotide ribosomal RNA is filed under the name uncultured bacterium. RNAcentral's name for it is "bacterial SSU rRNA". The stretch from base 478 to 1003 matches the Rfam family "Bacterial small subunit ribosomal RNA", at positions 1 to 844 of the family's 1533-position model. The record is from RNAcentral.
CCCAACGCGAUAAGUACUCCGCCUGGGGACUACGGCCCGCAAGGCUAAAACUCAAAGGAAUUGACGGGGGGCCCGCACAAGCAGCGGAGCGUGUGGUUUUAAUUCGAUGAUACGCGAAGAACCUCACCCAGGUUUGACAUGCAUGUGGUACUGAUCCGAAAGGUGAAGGACCCCUCGGGGAGCAUGCACAGGUGUUGCACGGCCGUCGUCAGCUCGUGCCGUGAGGUGUUGGGUUAAGUCCCGCAACGAGCGCAACCCCUGUCGCCAGUUGUAUUUUUCUGGCGAGACUGCCGAGAAGACCUCGGAGGAAGGAGGGGACGAUGUCAGGUCAGCGUGGCCCUUACGCCUGGGGCUACACACACGCUACAAUGGGUGGUACAACGGGUUGCCAAGCCGCGAGGUGGAGCUAAUCCCAUCAAAGCCAUCCUCAGUUCGGAUUGCAGGCUGAAACCCGCCUGCAUGAAGCCGGAGCUUGCUAGUGCCUGCAGGUCAGCACUACUAGAGGAUCAACUACGUCAUAGCCUUAUACACUAAGAAUCUUGCGCAAUGGGCGAAAGCCUGACGCAGCAACGCCGCGUGAAGGACGAAGGCCCUCGGGUCGUAAACUUCUUUUGCGAGGGAAGAAGAUCUGACGGUACCUCGCGAAUAAGCCACGGCUAACUACGUGCCAGCAGCCGCGGUAAUACGUAGGUGGCAAGCGUUGUCCGGAUUUACUGGGCGUAAAGAGCCCGCAGGCGGUCCAAUAAGUUCUUGGUGAAAUCUCCUGGCUCAACUGGGAGGGUGCCUGGAAAACUAUUGGACUUGAGGCAGGGAGAGGGAUGUGGAAUUCCCGGUGUAGUGGUGAAAUGCGUAGAUAUCGGGAGGAACACCAGUGGCGAAGGCGGCAUCCUGGCCCUGUCCUGACGCUCAGGGGCGAAAGCGUGGGGAGCAAACCGGAUUAUAUACCCGGGUAGUCCACGCCGUAAACGAUGAGUACUAGGGGUAGGGGGUUUCGACCCCCUUU